This 394-nucleotide ribosomal RNA is filed under the name uncultured bacterium. RNAcentral's name for it is "bacterial SSU rRNA". It matches the Rfam family "Bacterial small subunit ribosomal RNA", at positions 775 to 1174 of the family's 1533-position model. The record is from RNAcentral.
GGAUUAGAUACCCGGGUAGUCCACGCCCUAAACGAUGUCUACUAGUUGUCGGGUCUUAAUUGACUUGGUAACGCAGCUAACGCGUGAAGUAGACCGCCUGGGGAGUACGGUCGCAAGAUUAAAACUCAAAGGAAUUGACGGGGACCCGCACAAGCGGUGGAUGAUGUGGAUUAAUUCGAUGCAACGCGAAAAACCUUACCUACCCUUGACAUGUACGGAAGUCCGAAGAGAUUUGGAUGUGCUCGAAAGAGAACCGUAACACAGGUGCUGCAUGGCUGUCGUCAGCUCGUGUCGUGAGAUGUUGGGUUAAGUCCCGCAACGAGCGCAACCCUUGUCGUUAGUUGCUACGAAAGGGCACUCUAAUGAGACUGCCGGUGACAAACCGGAGGAAGGU